CUACGGGCGGCUGCAGUGGGGAAUAUUGGACAAUGGGGGGAACCCUGAUCCAGCAAUGCCGCGUGUGUGAAGAAGGCCUGAGGGUUGUAAAGCACUUUCGGUGGUGAGGAAGGUUGAUAUACUAAUAUUGUAUUGAUUUGACGUUAGCCACAGAAGAAGCACCGGCUAACUCCGUGCCAGCAGCCGCGGUAAUACGGAGGGUGCGAGCGUUAAUCGGAAUUACUGGGCGUAAAGGGUGCGUAGGUUGUAUAUUAAGUUAGUUGUGAAAUACCUGGGCUUAACCGAGGGAGGUCAACUAAUACUGAUAGACUAGAGUACGGGAGAGGGUAGUGGAAUUUCCGGUGUAGCGGUGAAAUGCGUAGAGAUCGGAAGGAACACCGGUGGCGAAGGCGGCUACCUGGCCUGAUACUGACACUGAGGCACGAAAGCGUGGGGAGCAAACAGGAUUAGAUACCCUGGUAGUC
This 464-nucleotide ribosomal RNA is filed under the name uncultured bacterium. Its description in RNAcentral is "partial 16S ribosomal RNA". It matches the Rfam family "Bacterial small subunit ribosomal RNA", at positions 339 to 795 of the family's 1533-position model. The record is from RNAcentral.